AAUCAACGCUGGCGGCGUGCCUAACACAUGCAAGUCGAACGCGAAAAUUCCUUCGGGAAUGAGUAGAGUGGCGUCCGGGUGAGUAACGCGUGGGUAAUCUACCUUCGGGUGGGGAAUAACCCAGGGAAACUUGGGCUAAUACCGCAUAAUGCAGCGGCUCGACAUCGAGAUAGUUGUUAAAGCAGCAAUGCGCCUGAGAAGNGCCUGCGUCUGAUUAGCUUGGGUA
Molecule: ribosomal RNA, 226 nt
Filed under: uncultured bacterium
Lineage: Bacteria
Description: partial 16S ribosomal RNA
Rfam family: Bacterial small subunit ribosomal RNA
Source: RNAcentral